Molecule: ribosomal RNA, 1242 nt
Filed under: metagenome
Description: bacterial LSU rRNA
Rfam family: Bacterial large subunit ribosomal RNA
Source: RNAcentral
UGAAUACGAGACGCUAAGGCGUCGAAGUAGUGUAUGUCAUACUUCCAAGAAAAGCUUGCACUGUCAUAGAUAAAAAACGCCUGUACCAUAACCGACACAGGUGGGUAGGUAGAGUAUACUAAGGGGCGCGAGAUAACUCUCUCUAAGGAACUCGGCAAAAUAACUCCGUAACUUCGGGAGAAGGAGUGCCUUAUUCGUAAGGUUGCAAUAACAAGAUCCAAGCAACUGUUUAUCAAAAACACAGGUCUCCGCUAAGUCGUAAGACGAUGUAUGGGGGCUGACGCCUGCCCAGUGCCAGAAGGUUAAAGAAGUUGGUUAGCAAUUGCGAAGCUGAUAACUGAAGCCCUGGUGAACGGCGGCCGUAACAAUAACGGUCCUAAGGUAGCGAAAUUCCUUGUCGGGUAAGUUCCGACCCGCACGAAAGGCGUAAUGAUUUGGAUACUGUCUCGGAGAGGGGCUCGGUGAAAUAGACUUGUCUGUGAAGAUGCGGACUACCUGCACCAGGACAGAAAGACCCUAUGAAGCUUUACUGUAACUUGAAAUUGAAAUUGGACUUUAUUCGCGCAGUAUAGGUGGGAGGCGUUGAUUAUAAUCUUGUGGGAUUAUUGGAGCCAUCAGUGAGAUACCACUCUUGUAAUGUUAGAUUUCUACCUUUGAAUCAUUAUCUGGUCAAAGAACAGUUUCAGGCGGGCAGUUUGACUGGGGCGGUCGCCUCCUAAACGGUAACGGAGGCGUACAAAGGUUUCCUCUGAACGGUUAGAAAUCGUAUCUAGAGUGUAAAGGCAUAAGGAAGCUUGACUGUGAGACCUACAAGUCGAGCAGGGACGAAAGUCGGUCUUAGUGAUCUGACGGUACUGAGUGGAAAGGCCGUCACUCAACGGAUAAAAGUUACUCUAGGGAUAACAGGCUGAUCUCCCCCAAGAGUUCACAUCGACGGGGAGGUUUGGCACCUUGAUGUCGGCUCAUCGCAUCCUGGGGCGGUAGUACGUCCCAAGGGUUGGGCUGUUCGCCCAUGAAAGCGGUACGCGAGCUGGGCUCAGAACGUCGUGAGACAGUUCGGUCCAUAUCCGGUGUAGGCGUUAGAAUAUUGAGAGGAGCCUUCUUUAGUACGAGAGGACCGAGAAGGACAUACCUCUGGUGUACCAGUUAUCGUGCCAACGGUAAACGCUGGGUAGCUAUGUAUGGAGUGGAUAACCGCUGAAAGCAUCUAAGUGGGAAGCCCACCUCAAGAUAAGUAUUCUC